RNAcentral lists this ribosomal RNA (440 nucleotides) under uncultured bacterium. RNAcentral describes it as "partial 16S ribosomal RNA". It matches the Rfam family "Bacterial small subunit ribosomal RNA", at positions 338 to 795 of the family's 1533-position model. The record is from RNAcentral.
CCUACGGGUGGCAGCAGUGGGGGAUAUUGCACAAUGGGGGAAACCCUGAUGCAGCAACGCCGCGUGUGGGAAGAAGGUUUUCGGAUUGUAAACCACUGUUCUUGGUGAAGAAAAUGACCGUAACCAAGGAGCAAGCUCCGGCUAAUUACGUGCCAGCAGCCGCGGUAAUACGUAGGGAGCAAGCGUUCACCGGAUUUACUGGGUGUAACGGGUGCGUAGGCGGUCUUGCAAGUCAGACGUGAAAACCACAGGCUCAACCAGUGGACUGCGUUUGACACUGGGGGGCUGGAGUGAAGUAGAGGAAGGCGGAAUUGCCGGUGUAGCGGUGAAAUGCGUAGAGAUCGGGAGGAACACCAGUGGCGAAGGCGGCCUGCUGGGCCUUAACUGACGCUGAGGCACGAAAGCAUGGGUAGCAAACAGGAUUAGAUACCCCAGUAGUC